Molecule: ribosomal RNA, 460 nt
Filed under: uncultured bacterium
Lineage: Bacteria
Description: partial 16S ribosomal RNA
Rfam family: Bacterial small subunit ribosomal RNA
Source: RNAcentral
AACGAACGCUGGCGGCAUGCCUUACACAUGCAAGUCGAACGCGAAAGUGUCUUCGGACAUUAGUAGAGUGGCAAACGGGUGAGUAACGCGUGGGAAUAUACCUUAUAGUAUGAAAUAGCCUCGGGAAACUGGGAUUAAUACCAUAUACGCCCUUCGGGGGAAAGAUUUAUCGCUAUAAGAUUAGCCCGCGUCAGAUUAGCUAGUUGGUGGGGUAAUAGCCUACCAAGGCAACGAUCUGUAGCUGGUCUGAGAGGACGAUCAGCCACAUUGGGACUGAGACACGGCCCAAACUCCUACGGGAGGCGGCAGUGGGGAAUAUUGGACAAUGGACGAAAGUCUGAUCCAGCAAUGCCGCGUGAAUGAUGAAGGCCUUAGGGUUGUAAAGUUCUUUAAGUGGGGAAGAUAAUGACGGUACCCACAGAAUAAGCACCGGCUAACUCCGUGCCAGCAGCCGCAGUAA